GUUGAAACACCAUUUCUCAUAAGAUCACAAAAGUUAAGCAACACCAAGCCUGGUUAGUACCUAGAUGGAUAACUGCUUGGGACUAGCAGGUGCUGUAAG
Molecule: non-coding RNA, 99 nt
Organism: Acanthosepion pharaonis
Lineage: Eukaryota; Metazoa; Mollusca; Cephalopoda; Sepiida; Sepiidae
Source: the annotation of a GenBank genome assembly